UACGAAGGGGGCUAGCGUUGUUCGGAAUCACUGGGCGUAAAGCGCACGUAGGCGGAUCUUUAAGUCAUGGGUGAAAUCCCGAGGCUCAACCUCGGAACUGCCUUUGAUACUGGGGAUCUCGAGUCCGGGAGAGGUGAGUGGAACUGCGAGUGUAGAGGUGAAAUUCGUAGAUAUUCGCAAGAACACCAGUGGCGAAGGCGGCUCACUGGCCCGGUACUGACGCUGAGGUGCGAAAGCGUGGGGAGCAAACAGG
This 253-nucleotide ribosomal RNA is filed under the name uncultured bacterium. RNAcentral describes it as "partial 16S ribosomal RNA". It matches the Rfam family "Bacterial small subunit ribosomal RNA", at positions 524 to 776 of the family's 1533-position model. The record is from RNAcentral.